AACUGAUACUACCUGCGGGAACCUGCGGAGGGAUCAUUGCUGGAACGCGCCCCAGGCGCACCCAGAAACCCUUUGUGAACUUAUACCUUACUGUUGCCUCGGCGCAUGCCGGCCCCCAGGGGCCCCUCGGAGACGAGGAGCAGGCACGCCGGCGGCCAACCUAACUCUUGUUUUUACACUGAAACUCUGAGAAAAAAAACAAAAUGAAUCAAAACUUUCAACAAUGGAUCUCUAGAUCGG
Molecule: unclassified non-coding RNA, 240 nt
Filed under: soil metagenome
Description: partial contains 5.8S ribosomal RNA, internal transcribed spacer 2, and large subunit ribosomal RNA
Source: RNAcentral